This 1713-nucleotide ribosomal RNA is filed under the name Triticum aestivum (bread wheat). RNAcentral describes it as "partial small subunit ribosomal RNA". Lineage: Eukaryota; Viridiplantae; Streptophyta; Magnoliopsida; Poales; Poaceae. The record is from RNAcentral.
AUGGGGAGGGUGAGGCGUUCUCCUCUCCUCGCGGCGUGGCUGGCUCUCGGCUUUGCGUGGCAUUGCGCGCUUCACCAUGCUCCGGCGGCGGCCGUGACGCUGUCGACGGCGUCGCGGUGGGUCGUGGACGAGGCCGGGGACCGCGUGAAGCUGGCGUGCGUGAACUGGCCGUCGCACCUGGAGCCGAUGCUGGCGGAGGGGCUGGGCAAGCGGCCCGUGGGCGCCAUCGCCGGGGACGUCGCCGCCAUGGGGUUCAACUGCGUCCGGCUCACCUGGCCCACGUUCCUGGUGACCAACGCCUCCUACUCGUCCCUCACCGUCGAGCAGUCUUUCCAGAGGCUCAAUCUCACCGAGUCGCUCGCCGGCAUCAGGGCCAACAACCCCGCCGUCGUCGACCUCAAGCUCAUCGACGCGUUCAAGGCCGUGGUGAGCAGCCUCGGCGAGAACAACGUCAUGGUGAUCCUGGACAACCACGUGAGCAAGCCGGGGUGGUGCUGCGACAACUCGGACGGCAACGGGUUCUUCGGCGACGGCUACUUCGAGCCGGACGUCUGGGUCGACGGCCUCACCAAGAUGGCCACCAUGUUCGCCGGCGUCCCCCACGUCGUCGGCAUGAGCCUCAGGAACGAGCUCCGAGGCCCCAGGCAGAACUCAAACGACUGGUACAAGUACAUGCAGCGCGGCGCGGAGGCGGUGCACGCGGCGAACCCGCGGGUGCUGGUGAUCCUCUCCGGCCUCAGCUUCGACAACGACCUGGCGUUCCUCAACUCGCGGCAGGUGAGCCUCAGCUUCGCCCGGAAGGCGGCGUUCGAGGUGCACUGGUACAGCUUCUCCAACGGCCAGGAGUGGGCGGCGGGCAACCCCAACGAGGUGUGCGCGCGGAUCGGGGCCAGCGUGUCCCGCCGCGCGCUCUACCUGCUCGACCAGGGCUGGCCGGUCUUCCUCAGCGAGUUCGGCGUCGACAACCGCGGCGGCAACGCCAACGACAACCGCUACUACGGCUGCGCCGCCGCCGUCGCCGCCGACCUCGACCUCGACUGGGCGCUCUGGACGCUGCAAGGGAGCUACUACCUCCGGCAGGGCGUGCUGGACCUCGACGAGGUCUACGGCGUGCUCGACAGGGCCUGGUCCAGGCCGCGCAACGACACCGCGCUCCGCAGGGUCCAGCCCCUGCAGCGCCCGCUCAGAGGGCCUGGCUACGCGGAGGCGGAGCCGUACACAGUGCUGUUCCACCCGGCGACGGGGCUGUGCGUGCUGCGGCGGUCACUGGCGCAGCCGCUGGAGCUGGGCGCGUGCGCCGACACGGAGGCGUGGGAGUACGCGCCGCAGCAGGGGCGGCUGGCGCUGCGUGACAGCCCGCUGAUGUGCCUCCACGCGCAGGGCGCCGGCCAGCCCGUGCUCCUCGGCACGCCGUGCGACGACGACAUGUCCCGGUGGCGCCUCGUGUCGGACUCCAAGCUGCACGUCGCCGUCAAUGCGUCGUCUUCGUCGUCGUCGGGCUCCGGCAGCGGCGGCGGCAUGCUCUGCCUGGAUGUCGGCGCGGACGGCCAGAGCGUGGUCACCAGCCCAUGCCGGUGCCUGAGCGCGGACAACAGCUGCGACCCGGAGAGCCAGUGGUUCAAGCUGGUGAGCAGCACGAGGAGCGUCGCCGCCAAUAGCAUGCUCGCGGAGCUGCCUGUGAAACUCGUGAGCUCGAAGAUUCGCUCGCUUUGA